ACGCAGGAGGCGAGCGUUAUCCGGAUUUACUGGGCGUAAAGCGCACGCAGGCGGUCUUUUGGGUCUGACGUGAAAGCUCCUGGCUUAACUGGGAGAGGUCGUUGGAAACUGGGAGACUUGAGGCAAUGAGAGGGGUGUGGAAUUCCCGGUGUAGUGGUGGAAUGCGUAGAGAUCGGGAGGAACACCAGUGGCGAAAGCGGCACCCUGGGCCGUACCUGACGCUAAGACGCGACAGCACGGGGAGCGAGCGG
Molecule: ribosomal RNA, 251 nt
Filed under: uncultured prokaryote
Description: partial 16S ribosomal RNA
Rfam family: Bacterial small subunit ribosomal RNA
Source: RNAcentral